GGUCGAUUAGCUUAGUCGGUAGAGCGUGGUACUAAUAGCUAAAGCGUUGAGAUGCCAAGGUCGUGGGUUCGAUCCCCACAUUGACCA
This 87-nucleotide transfer RNA is filed under the name Phakopsora pachyrhizi. Its description in RNAcentral is "tRNA-Ile". It matches the Rfam family "tRNA". Rfam says of the family: Transfer RNA (tRNA) molecules are approximately 80 nucleotides in length. Their secondary structure includes four short double-helical elements and three loops (D, anti-codon, and T loops). Lineage: Eukaryota; Fungi; Basidiomycota; Pucciniomycetes; Pucciniales; Phakopsoraceae. The record is from RNAcentral.